UUGUUGCGGAAGCGACGAUAAUAUUAAUAACAAUAUUAUCAGAAAUAUUUAGAUAAUUAUUAUGCCAACAAUUAUACUAAGAAAAUUCCCAGUUAAAUUGGAGGGGUCACAAUGGUCCCGCUUAAAACCCAACAACUAGACAGAACUCACUUAGAUAUUUAUAGCAAUAAUAACUAAAUAAAUAUAACCAACAUAAAGCUAUUAAAUAUAAGCAAACAAAUAAGAAAUAAAAUACCAGAGAUUUAACGAGGUUCGGCCAAUUUAGCUUACGUCCUCGGACACUACCAAAUUAAUAUUUCUUUUAGAAAUAUUACAAAGGAGAAGAUUUUAGGAUGAUAAAACCAAAGGGGGAGGGGUUCUAUAUAUAACAAACCAAACCCCCUCCCUUUCUAUCUUUUCCUAAUGUGGGAUAUUGCCAAUAUUCAACAAAUCUCC
RNAcentral lists this long non-coding RNA (435 nucleotides) under Gossypium raimondii (Peruvian cotton). RNAcentral describes it as "long non-coding RNA (GRAI_LNC008485)". The record is from RNAcentral. Lineage: Eukaryota; Viridiplantae; Streptophyta; Magnoliopsida; Malvales; Malvaceae.